RNAcentral lists this ribosomal RNA (553 nucleotides) under uncultured bacterium. Its description in RNAcentral is "bacterial SSU rRNA". It matches the Rfam family "Bacterial small subunit ribosomal RNA", at positions 8 to 521 of the family's 1533-position model. The record is from RNAcentral.
AGAGUUUGAUCCUGGCUCAGGACGAACGCUGGCGGCGUGCCUAAUACAUGCAAGUCGAGCGAGCUUGCCUAGAUGAUUUUAGUGCUUGCACUAAAUGAAACUAGAUACAAGCGAGCGGCGGACGGGUGAGUAACACGUGGGUAACCUGCCCAAGAGACUGGGAUAACACCUGGAAACAGAUGCUAAUACCGGAUAACAACACUAGACGCAUGUCUAGAGCUUGAAAGAUGGUUCUGCUAUCACUCUUGGAUGGACCUGCGGUGCAUUAGCUAGUUGGUAAGGCAACGGCUUACCAAGGCAAUGAUGCAUAGCCGAGUUGAGAGACUGAUCGGCCACAUUGGGACUGAGACACGGCCCAAACUCCUACGGGAGGCAGCAGUAGGGAAUCUUCCACAAUGGACGAAAGUCUGAUGGAGCAACGCCGCGUGAGUGAAGAAGGGUUUCGGCUCGUAAAGCUCUGUUGGUAGUGAAGAAAGAUAGAGGUAGUAACUGGCCUUUAUUUGACGGUAAUUACUUAGAAAGUCACGGCUAACUACGUGCUAGCAGCCGCGGU